Molecule: ribosomal RNA, 419 nt
Filed under: uncultured Acidobacteriota bacterium
Lineage: Bacteria; Pseudomonadati; Acidobacteriota
Description: bacterial SSU rRNA
Rfam family: Bacterial small subunit ribosomal RNA
Source: RNAcentral
CAGCAGUGGGGAAUUUUGGGCAAUGGGCGAAAGCCUGACCCAGCAACGCCGCGUGGAGGACGAAGGUUUUCGGAUCGUAAACUCCUGUCUAGAGGGACGAAGUAAGUGACGGUACCUCUGGAGGAAGCCCCGGCUAACUCCGUGCCAGCAGCCGCGGUAAUACGGGGGGGGCGAGCGUUGUUCGGAAUUACUGGGCGUAAAGGGCGCGUAGGCGGUAUUGGAAGUCAUGGGUGAAAGUCCUCGGCUCAACCGAGGGAUUGCCUGUGAAACCACAGUACUGGAGUGCUGGAGAGGGAAGUGGAAUUCCCAGUGUAGCGGUGAAAUGCGUAGAUAUUGGGAGGAACACCUGUGGCGAAGGCGGCUUCCUGGACAGACACUGACGCUGAGGCGCGAAAGCCAGGGGAGCGAACGGGAUUAGA